UACGGAGGGUGCAAGCGUUGUUCGGAAUCACUGGGCGUAGAGAAUGCGUAGGCGGCUUAACAAGUCAGGAGUGAAAUCCCAGGGCUCAACCCUGGAACUGCUUCUGAAACUGUUUUGCUAGAGUCCCGGAGGGGUUAGCGGAAUUCCGAGUGUAGAGGUGAAAUUCGCAGAUAUUCGGAGGAACACCAGUGGCGAAGGCGGCUAACUGGACGGGAACUGACGCUGAGGCUUGAAAGUGUGGGGAUCAAACAGG
Molecule: ribosomal RNA, 253 nt
Filed under: uncultured bacterium
Lineage: Bacteria
Description: partial 16S ribosomal RNA
Rfam family: Bacterial small subunit ribosomal RNA
Source: RNAcentral